UGCGAAGAAAAGAAAAGAAAGAGACGAGAGUCGUGUAAUUCGACAAGGACAAAGGACGUUUCGAUGGAGGAUAAGACGUAAUUAACGGCGACGAUCGGUAAUCCAGGAGAUUAAGAAAGUUGGUUCGUCUAUCUUGGAGGUUUCGUUAGAGACUAUCCUGAAAUUCAGCGAGCGAUCAGUUUGUUGUCCAAGCAAAACUUUGACGCAUAAUUAUCGAAAACGAUUAGCCAAGGUUGGAUAUCCGAGAGUACCUUGUGUGCAGUCUCGUGCGUGCUUCGUAAAAGAGAAAAAAAAAUUCGAGUAAAAAGCUUAAAGACCGCUUUUCCAACGCUCGCCAACUUUAUAAUUAUGAAUGGUGAAUUCCAUGAAUUCUCGCAGGUGUUUCGUAAAAUAUUCGAAAAAAAGCUGGAGGUGGAAUUGUGAAAUAUUCUGCGAGGACGGUCUUGAUAAUGCGAUUCUCUCUUCGAAUUUUUGAAAUUAACUGCAGGUAUUACUACUUUCGGUCUAGGUUAUAACGAGAUUCGAAAGUUAGCUACUCGAAAUUUGAAGGAAAAGAGAUAGAUCGAAGGUUAUUCUCGACGACGAGGACGGAGAGAUUAAUUUCCCACAGCUUUCUCGCUUCGGUACGUUUCACGAAGCGAUUGGAUAUAUUUUAUUACUGGCAAAGUAGAAAAGGAAAGGAAAGGAAAGGAGGAGGAGGAGGAGGAGGAGGACGACACGU
Molecule: long non-coding RNA, 721 nt
Organism: Vespula vulgaris
Lineage: Eukaryota; Metazoa; Arthropoda; Insecta; Hymenoptera; Vespidae
Exons: 5
Source: RefSeq, a predicted model, not a curated record